Molecule: long non-coding RNA, 1781 nt
Organism: Vespula pensylvanica (western yellowjacket)
Lineage: Eukaryota; Metazoa; Arthropoda; Insecta; Hymenoptera; Vespidae
Exons: 2
Source: RefSeq, a predicted model, not a curated record
UAUAUAUAUAAAUACACACAAACAACACAUAUGUAUUAUAUCGUUUUCCGACACCGAUCAUUCUUUUAUCCUUUAUCGUCGUUACGCGAAGGAUUCGAAUGAUCGUUGGCAGAAGGAUUAAAAAAGAUAGAAAAAAAUAAAAAACGAUACACCGACGAAACUUCGUUGUUCGUGGUGCAUACCUCGACUAAUUGAGAGGGCAUAUAUAUAUAUAUAUAUACAUAUAUAUAUAUAUAUACACAAAGAAAAUAAAAAAUAAAAAAAAGAAUAAAAAAAAAAUAAAAGCGUAAUAAAAGCAAACGACGACACGAGUCGGGGCUCGCUCGUCCGAUCGAUCGCACUUACAUAGACAUAUAGAUUAUACACGCUCACGCAUGCUAUAGCAGCAACGGUGACUUAGUCACGUCGCAAUUAAUCGGAUUUAUCGAUUCGAUCGAACCGAGUCUAGGAGAGGCUCAACCUUCCUUUUCCUUUCCCGUUUCCCCCUUUACCUUUACAAUGUCGAUCGGCUUUCUCUCGCACGCGUGCACGUGCACGUGUACACGUGACUAUACUCCCUACUAAUCACCUGGGGGAAAGUUUCGUUUUCACCUUUUCCUCUUUACAUUCUCUCUUUUUUUUCUCUUUCUCUCUGUAUCUAUCUCGAUGAAAAAAAAAAAAAAAAAAAAAAAAAAAUGAAAAUUUUCAAAUAUUCACAUAAAAACUUCGCGAAUAUUUUCUCUUUUCCUUUUUUUUUAAUUUCAUACAAUUGUAACAUUUAUUUAAUAGAAUUUUUAUCACAGGCCAUUGACACGUUAAAUAUCUCAUGGUUUAUUAAAGAUUAUCCUUUUUCAUUUUUAAUACCCUAGUUCUUAAAUGGACAUAUGCCAAUUAUGUUUAUUGAACAAAUGUGUGAGAAAGAACAAAGUGUUACAAGGAUGAAAUAUUUCAAGACUUUUCGUUUUUUUAUCCUCCAAUCGUUUACUAAAUGUCCAGUUUAUUUUUACCCCUCUUAUUGCUACUACUUUCGGUAUCACACAUAUACGAGUAUAUACGUAGUUACAUAGGUUCGGGAAAAUUUGGGUUUCACGGAAACGUCCUCGUUUUCCAAAGUAAUCAAGAUUAUGUAAGAGACGGGAAAGCUCGACGAAAGGCAAGAGAUUUGCACGAAUCUCGGACGGAAUUCAGGGAGAAAUUAAGCUCUCCAACCUGCCUUUCAUAGGCGACCUCGUGAACAUCAACAUUCUAAAUAUUCAACGUCGUCGCUCGCCUUACUCUUGGAAAUCUUUUUAUUUUUGGUUUCUUGUUUUUUCUUUUUCUUUUUUUUUUCUUCUAUCCCUCGAAAACUCGUUUCACCGACUUCUCUUUACGUCAAUGCAUUUUUCCAAUUAUAUUCACUUUGCACUCGCCCUUCUCGUUUUCACUUUGAUCUUGACAAAGGAUCUCUCAUGUUGAGUGAUACCACACGUAACAAGCUAGUAUCACUUUUAAAAAUUCUGUAUCCAAGAAAGAAAAAGAUAAAGAGAGAAAGAUGAAGAGAAAGAGAGAGAGAGAGAGAGAGAGAGACAGAGAGAGAGAGAGAGAGAGAGAAAGAGAUUGAGAAAUUGAACGAGUGAGUGAGAGAGUGAGAGAGAGAGAGAGAACGUCAAUUAAUAGCUAUCAAAACGAUUUAAAUGAACAUGAUGCGGAACGACGAAUAAUUCACUUCGUAUGUUCCAUAAUCGCGGCAUAUAAUAUAGAGUAAAUCUAUUAUCGACUUUUUGUAGCAAAAGAAAAAGAAAGAAAGAGAAAGAGAAAGUUUA